This 116-nucleotide ribosomal RNA is filed under the name Bacillus halotolerans. The record is from RNAcentral. RNAcentral also lists the same sequence under 2 other names. Lineage: Bacteria; Bacillati; Bacillota; Bacilli; Caryophanales; Bacillaceae.
UCUGGUGAUGAUGGCGAAGAGGUCACACCCGUUCCCAUGCCGAACACGGAAGUUAAGCUCUUCAGCGCCGAUGGUAGUCGGGGGUUUCCUCCUGUGAGAGUAGGACAUCGCCAGGC